Long non-coding RNA from Tachysurus fulvidraco (yellow catfish), 439 nucleotides. RefSeq lists it as uncharacterized. The transcript is spliced from 2 exons. The record is from RefSeq and is a predicted model, not a curated record. NCBI's taxonomy places the organism in Eukaryota, Metazoa, Chordata, Actinopteri, Siluriformes, Bagridae.
UUGAAAUUUAGGGUGCCUAGGACAUGAAAUCUAAAAUGACCGGUACCAGACGCUACACCAUCAACGACAUGUCCUGCAUUUUAAUGUAAUUUUUAUUUUUUUAAAAUAUCCACUUCCUUUCUUAGCCUAGCUUCCACCGGGUAUAAUUGUAACACGGGGAGAGUUGUAACACUACCAAUUCCACGAAUCAGGGAUAAGAUAGGAGUCAUGUGACAGUUUCAGUCUCGCAGGCUUCCUUUACGAUCCCACAUGGAGGUUUUCCGGUCUGUGUUGCCAUCUCUCCUGAAGCUACAGCAGAAAAUCUAAUUCUGAGAAAUCUGAGGCAACAGCUGACGACCUUUUCAGGGGUCCCCUCUUCCCAGCAUCCAAAUAAAAGGAUCGGCUGACCUACAAAGCGUGGGCUGUCGGUGAGCUCCAGGUGACGACACACAUCUCUGUG